GAUGAACGCUGGCGGCGUGCUUAACACAUGCAAGUCGAACGGAAAGGCCCUGCUUUUGUUGGGUUCUCGAUUGCCGAACGCGUGAGUAACACGUGAGUAACCUGCCCUUGACUUUCGGAUAACUUCAGGAAACUAGGGCUAAUACCGGAUAGGAUCUCCUGCACCAUGGUGAGGGUUGGAACUUUUCGGCGGUUGGGGAUGGACUCGCGGAUUAUCAGCUUGUUUGUGGGGUAGGGGCUUACCAAGGGUUUGGAGGGUAGGCGGCCUGAGAGGGUGACCGCGCACAUUGCGACUGAGGUACGGAGCAGGCUACUACGGGAGGCAGUAGUGGCAAAUAUUAUACAAUGAGCGGAAGUGUGAUGCAACGCCGUAGCGUGCGUAAUGACGGUCUUGGGGUUGUAAACCGCUUUUGUCUGUGACGAGGCGAGAGUGACGGUAAUCGGUAAAAAAGCACGGGCUAACUACGUG
This 468-nucleotide ribosomal RNA is filed under the name uncultured bacterium. RNAcentral describes it as "partial 16S ribosomal RNA". It matches the Rfam family "Bacterial small subunit ribosomal RNA", at positions 28 to 507 of the family's 1533-position model. The record is from RNAcentral.